Molecule: ribosomal RNA, 451 nt
Filed under: uncultured bacterium
Lineage: Bacteria
Description: partial 16S ribosomal RNA
Rfam family: Bacterial small subunit ribosomal RNA
Source: RNAcentral
AACGAACGCUGGCGGCAUGCCUAAUACAUGCAAGUCGAACGAACGUAGCAAUACGUGAGUGGCGGACGGGUGAGUAACACGUGGGAACCUGCCCAGCGGUGGGGAACAACCGAGGGAAACUUCGGCUAAUACCGCAUACGCCCUUACGGGGAAAGAUUUAUCGCCGUUGGAGGGGCCCGCGUCCGAUUAGCUAGUUGGUGAGGUAACGGCUCACCAAGGCGACGAUCGGUAACUGGUCUGAGAGGACGACCAGUCACACUGGGACUGAGACACGGCCCAGACUCCUACGGGAGGCAGCAGUAGGGAAUAUUGGACAAUGGGGGAAACCCUGAUCCAGCAAUGCCGCGUGAGUGAUGAAGGCCUUAGGGUUGUAAAGCUCUUUCGCCCACGACGAUGAUGACGGUAGUGGGAGAAGAAGCCCCGGCUAACUUCGUGCCAGCCGCCGCCGUAA